Non-coding RNA from Pelodiscus sinensis (Chinese soft-shelled turtle), 4625 nucleotides. NCBI's taxonomy places the organism in Eukaryota, Metazoa, Chordata, Testudines, Trionychidae. The record is from RefSeq and is a predicted model, not a curated record.
CAAAAAUAUGCCGCUAUAUAAAAGCACCAGAAAUGUUUAAAAAAAAUCAACUGGCCAAAGCUGAGAAAUAUUUAAUAAACACAAUAUUAAAACAAAAUAAACACACAUCAGGAUGUUGAGGAUGUAGUAAUUUCACUGUAGUUAGCACAUGCAAAGUAAAUGAUGGUGCGAAGGGUUAUUUAGAGACACUUUCUGUGACAAGAAGGGGUUACUGUUCCUUUAUAUAACUAAAUAUGGUUACUCUGAAAUUGUUAGCAUCGUAUCUAGCCUACAGAAAGCAUUCUCGUUAAGCCCCGUGCCGAAACGGUCUAGCAACGAGUGUCGUUCUAAGCUACUUCUCUAUUAGCCAAGGAAUCUGUCAACGAGCAUUUGAUCAAAUUAUACUCACCUUUUAUCCCUGGCAUGUCAUUAUUUAUGUACCAGUGACAAAGGGUCCCCCCGCCCUGCCUUUUCAUGCUGCCUGGAGAUAAAAAUCACUGCCUAACAUAGUUUCCUCAUGCACACUAUGGCUACUUGAGUUCUGAGAAAAAUGAACAAAGUGUUCUGCCGAGCUGUAAAUGCAGCCAUGUCAGAAUAAUAGCGGCUGCUGAGCACUUCCACAGCUGAGUGUAAUUACUAUGGUGUCGAAUGGAAACCGUCCAUCUUAAACGUGGCUUUGAUGUGAGGAGGGAGCUGUUCCUAGUGCACACAUAUAAGCGCUUGACAAAUAAAGAUAAAAAGCAGCCGCCUAAUGGAUUUGAGGACAUGAAUCUGCAAACAAAAGCUUGUACCUGCUUUGAAAGUAGCAGAGUUAACUCCCGGCAAAAUAAUUUGCAAUGGAAAUGAGAUAACUUCGCAUGGAGCAGGGAGGAAGCUAAAAAGAACUUCAAGUCUUUCACCCCAAAUUAGAAUCUUCACAUUUGUUUGCCUGAGCUCAUAUAUUCUAUCAAGGCAAAAACCAGAUAAAUAAAAAGUACCACUAUAACUACAAAAACGUGCAAGUGAUCUAUCAGAUAGCCAUAUAUGAGUGGUGAAAAGAAAUCACUAAAAGUAAGUGAAAGGACUAAGUUAGAAAUCUGCUUAGCUCUCUGGAGCAGGGAUUGUGUCUUUCCAUGUAUCUGUCUGCUUAGCAAAAUGGAGAUAUUCAGCUGGGCAUGAACAUUAAGCAAAUAAUAAGUAACAGUGUUAACAUUGUAAUCUCAGGAAAGCAGUGGCAUUUGUUAUAGCGCGGAUAUUACAUGAUCAGGAAGGAGUAUCGGUCCUUAAUGUGCUACCAGCUAAAAUAUAUGGUGAUCUUGCAUAAAUUAUGAUAAUUCACAAUGCAGUCUAAAUUGCUAACUUGUGGUACCCUGAAUGAGCUCACCAGCUGCACCAUGGGAACCCAGCUAAUUUGGCAUGGUAUGUUGAAUAGUGCCCAAAGCACUGCGUAAGUCAACCUUUAACUCUUAAGAUCACAAAAUGUGAAAAAUUAAAAUCCAAAGCAAGCCAAAAGCGGCAAGGGGCAAGAGACGCAAGCCACAAAUACCUAAAAGCAGGAAGGAGAUGACAAGAAUGUAUCAGGUGCGUCUAAUUCUGAGAGCCGGUCCUAUUCUUCUACAUGGAGCCAUGUGGCUGCUGGCUACAGAAGUUUGGCAUUUGACUGCAGUUAGUGUCUCAAGUCAAAAUAAGCUGUGCUAUAUAUUUAAAUAAGUGGUAUGACUGUUGGCAGCAAAAGGAGCAAACGUAUCAAAGUGUCAGAGAACAGCCAUUAAUUGGGAGGCAAAGUAAGUAAUGAGAAACAAUCUAGUCAGCUACAAGAGAAUGCAUCACCUAGCCAGAUGGUACAUGGAAUUGGUGUAAAGUAAGUAUAUUCUGGGAACUAUAUACGCUUACAAAAAAUGGCCUAUAAACACAGCAGGUAAAAACAUGAAUUCCAUGUGCUUAAAACAAGCAUCUUGUGACAAACACACAAGUAACAGAAGGCCAACGGUUGGUUUAUGCUUGCAAGGCUAUCAUCACACCUAAUGACAGAAAUAUAUUUAAAUCAAAGCUUGUAUUAAAUACCGAUAAAACUUGCCUGGGAAAGUUUCCUUUUUACCUCUACCAAGGAGGAACGUUCAAGCCCUGAGGCAGGAGUUCAUAACUAUGCUGUAUAAAAAAACUCCUCAGACGUUCAGUUCUACAGGACACUGUUGAUUAGCAUGUUAGAGACUUUGAGGCAAUGAAACAAUUAGGAAAACAGUUCAAAUAUUUCAGAGCAGAAAUGUUGGCUUCUAGAGCUUUUUCCUCAGGAAAAAGAAAUGAGUUAGGUGAAUUAAAUAGUUCUGCUUUCUACUACUGAAGAUAAUAAAUGCGAUCCAGGCAAACAUUUUACAUUGCAAAACCUGUUUCCCAAACAACUUGGGAGACAGUGACCAGUUAGAACUCUGUAUACAAACGACAUUUCUCUACAGCUUGUUCACUAAAUACGAGAGAACAACUCACCAUAAGGGGACAACGAAGCACAAUGCAUGAGACCUAUAGUCGGUGUGUUUCUAGGCAAAGUAAGCCUUCCCUUCACCAGUCCCGUUGCUCAACCAGGCCCAGCCUGUUACCCUUGCCAGUUCCUCUCCCCCAGAUUCUCCACCUUUCCCUCUCUACUCUUUUCUCUUCCCCUAGUCUGGCUUUUGUCCCCCUCCCCUCCGUCCAAAUCAAGUGGCUUCCCCCUGCACGCUGCCCGAGUGCCAGCAGGGGGAGUCUUGCGACCACAGGAGAAACUAGCUCCUCGCUCUUCUGGUACUUGUCCCUUGGCUAGACCCACUAAAUCGACCCCUGGGAGAUCGAUCUUUGCGGCGUCAGUCUCCUGGUAAGCGUAGACAAGGCCUGAGAGCUGCGAUUACAGGGAGGGCAGACUGCUUGGAGAUUGAGCUGCUAAAAUCGAAGAAGUUGCUAUGGAGCCUCUUCAAACUGCAAUUUUCAAAGGCUUAUAAUUGGCCAAAUUUGGGGAGGUUUUCAAGGAGAUAGCCAAAUGUCUGUAUCUCUGUCCACCCUCUGCCAGAUUCCAAGUCCCUAAUUCAAAGUGCGGGGCAUGAGACCUGUUCAAAAAGAAGGUCACCCUUUUUAAAAAAACAAAACUAUAUUGUUGUCCUUGUUUUAUUCAUAUAAAUGUCUGGACCAUGUUGGCUAAAAAUUACAUAGAUUGCCAAGGCAGGCACCAGUCACAUAAAGCUUCAAACCAAAUGGCUAAGAUUUAGCAAAAUUAUAAGCAAUUGAAACGAGGGGCUAAUAAUAGGAAGUCACAGGCUACUUUUACAACAAGCAGGACCUACCAGCCCUACCUGCAAAACAGAUAUAUGAAUUGAACACUCAGAUUUUACCACAGUGUGAUAUAAGACAAAAAUGACACAAAAGAUCCUCUUCUCAAAAGCUGUAAACCAAAGAAAGCUUGAUGAAAUUUCCCUCUGUAACUACUAAUGUCAUUUGGGUAUUAAAAUGCAGCCUAACGAGCGUGGCGUAAAGCACUGAUACAGCUUAUAUAUGAUGAUUUAUUUUGGUCAGGUCAGCCUUUUCCUGCCCACAUCAAAAAACUGGCAACAAACAGCAUAUAGGAAGCAUUACACAAAUUCUCUCUCUGUCUCUCACCACAGGGUUUAAGUCUCCUAAGCAAUGAAACUCUUCUAUGAUAGGAUAAUUUUUUAGCAAGGUGUAGUUAUCAUACCGAAAGUCAUUAAAAUAUGUUCUUUCUAGCUUCAUUCCUCGAGCCUCCCCUGCAUUGGUGAACUGUAGAAUAACUUGAAUUCAGGUAGUCGAAAAGCCCCAUUUUUCUCACAGGCUUAUGACAUUUAGUACCACUAUCAGCCUCUCUCAAGGGUGCUAGAGUCACUGAACUUUUUCUUAAUGUGAAUUUAGUGGCUCAUGAAAGGUUCUGGAGUGACAAGCUUAGAGACUAAGGCCCUCUAUUUAACCACCGAAAAGUCACAAUACAGAGAACACACACGAGCACUUUCACAACCAGUGUCCCCACCCGUAGCAGAGCACUGCGCAUUUGCAGAGAGGGCACUUCAGUUUGCUGCCCAUUUAAUCACGUGUCUCCUCAUUGGGGCUACAACCGUGAGUGCCACUUGUAAUGGUAAUUUAGCAAGUGCAGACACCUGUUCACUAGCAAGGGGAGAGAGAUCAAUGGCUUAUUUCAAAGAAAGCCUCAAAUCGCUGUCAGAUGUCAACUAUUUGAAUUCGCUCUCCUGUAUGAAAGAAGGGAGAGAAAUUUCAAAUUGCUUGGCAGGUUGUUUGUCAUUGUUGAUUUGGAGCUCAGAUGCUCCAAAGAAGAGUGGUUAUAAGUAACUAGAUUAGAAAUCUUAAAGUUACAGAUAAUGGCAUUAAAGGGUCUUUUUUUCUUGCGGAACAGCUCACUCUUUAUAAGUGGCAUAAGCUGUCUGCAAUUUUCUAGCUUUAACUAAUACUUUUUUUUUCAUUUUCAAUAAGUUCUUUCUAAUCUUCACACAUCUUAGAAAACCGCACUUUGCAAAUGAAAGGGGGACUGAAAACCAGUUUAGCAAAGCUCACAAAAUGGCAACUAAGCCAAUAAAUGCAUUGAUAUUCUCUCCUCCCCACCCCAACACAAAUCGGCACUUCCUGGAAACAUCCUCUAAAUCAGUGGUGGGCAACCUGUGGCCCACUGGGGUUCCACC